Molecule: ribosomal RNA, 497 nt
Filed under: uncultured bacterium
Lineage: Bacteria
Description: partial 16S ribosomal RNA
Rfam family: Bacterial small subunit ribosomal RNA
Source: RNAcentral
GAUGAACGCUGGCGGCGUGCCUAAUACAUGCAAGUCGAGCGAACAGACGAGGAGCUUGCUCCUCUGACGUUAGCGGCGGACGGGUGAGUAACACGUGGAUAACCUACCUAUAAGACUGGGAUAACUCCGGGAAACCGGAGCUAAUACCGGAUAAUAUAUUGAACCGCAUGGUUCAAUAGUGAAAGACGGUUUUGCUGUCACUUAUAGAUGGAUCCGCGCCGCAUUAGCUAGUUGGUAAGGUAACGGCUUACCAAGGCAACGAUGCGUAGCCGACCUGAGAGGGUGAUCGGCCACACUGGAACUGAGACACGGUCCAGACUCCUACGGGAGGCAGCAGUAGGGAAUCUUCCGCAAUGGGCGAAAGCCUGACGGAGCAACGCCGCGUGAGUGAUGAAGGUCUUCGGAUCGUAAAACUCUGUUAUUAGGGAAGAACAAAUGUGUAAGUAACUAUGCACGCCUUGACGGUACCUAAUCAGAAAGCCACGGCUAACUACGUG